UCUUUAGCAAUAUUUAUUAUGAUCACAAUACCAAGGAUUUGACUGAGCAACUGUCAACCAAAACCAACAUCCAAAUAUUGAUCACACAAGCAAAGAUCAAGCAGAGUAUAUUCCAACCUACUUGGUGAAUUCGAGAACCCAAGCAGUGGAGAAACAAUACUGAGCUUUAAACCCUGUGAAGCCUGCUCCCUUGGCCAAGUCCUGGUACUCUUUUUCGGUCCUCUCUUUCCCACCAGGGUUGUGAGCCAACAUGAUCAUGUCCAGAUGGAAGACACCCUGUGCUGAAGGAACUGGUUCUGGAGCUACUGGAAGGAUGCACUCGCAAAGGAUCACCCUCCCGUUGUUUGGCAGAGCUUUGUAGCAGUUCUCCAAGAUCUUCGCACAGUGCUCGUCGCUCCAGUCAUGCAUGAUCCACUGUGAAUCACAUUAUUCAACCUUAGUCGCUAAAUCUAGGAUACUCCUAGUUCUUGGUUUGGUUUGAAGGUUACAAGCUAAAAAAAAAAAAAAAGAAACGUUUUGGAGGUAGUGAUCAAGUCACAAGUGAAACCAUUGGACCAAGAUGUUCACCCAUUUUUGGGCCUCCACCUACCCAAUCGCAUCCAUCUGAAGUGGAGUUUAGUGGUUGAGACAAGAUAUCGUAGGGUGCAGAAUGAUGGAAGCAUCUCAAUCCAAUACCUAAAGUUGAUGUCGACCGAUUUGACUCACAAUUUAUUUUGUUGCGUUUUAAUCAUGUUAGUUUAAUGUCCAUAUAAUGGCAGGUGUGAUUAGUUCCAAUACAAAUGGCAGUUUGGAAAAAAAAAGUAUAGGAUAUAAACUAAUCUUCGUUCUGAAGGAAUUAUUUGGCAAGAGUAGCAUCUCUAGCUGCCCCUCUCUCUCUCUCUCAAAAGAAAAAAAAAAAUCUGCCUAUUAGCUACUCUAAGGUCGGAAUUCUGGCACUCCGGUAUAGAUUUCUUUCUUUUCUUCUUUUUUUUUUACUUCUUAUUUUUUUUUGGAUAAGAGACCUAGAUUAUGUAUUUGAGUCUUUAGGACAAAACUCCAACAAUAAUUUUAUAAGUUGGUAUCUGGGUUAAAGUGGACCGGCAUUGGAUUGCCAGCAUCAACUAACCAUUUAUACCAUAUAUAUAUAUAUAUAUAUAUAUAUAAAAUAAUAUUUUGUGAAGGAGUAUUAGAGCGUUGCCAACUCAGCUUCUCAAAUAAAUUUUAUUGUACCACUUGAAAAGAAUACAUCUUUACAUUAAAUUAUAUUAUUAAUAUAUGAUAUUAUUAUAUUAUUAUAAUUAAAAUUUAUUUAUAUAGGUAGUUGAGAAUAUGAAGUGAUCCUAAGAAUUUGAAUGAAUAUUAUUUUAUUAUUUAUAUAAAUUUUUUUUCAAUCUGUUCAGAUCUAGAAGAAAAAUUAUUUUCAUACAUCCGGCUCCACGCAAUGUGCGGGUCUUCGACUAGUUUAUUAUUUAAAAUGAAGAUUGCCAUGAUAGUCACGCCUCUUAUGUAGCUAUCACAGAUUCUCAAUUUGAAUUUUAGAUUUUGUAUUUGCAAGUAUUUUCAUAUUAGGUCUAAAUUCUCUGUGAUAUAAAAAAUACCGCAUGAUGCUGUGCAUGAUUGAAUAUCGUCCAUCUUAAGAUGAACAGCCACACGUGCUUUAAAAAAACUAAAAGAAAAAAAUAUAUAAAUCCUUGAUGGACUGCAUCUAACUAUGUACAAUACUCUAUGAUACUUUUUGAGUAUCAAGUAGAAUCCCGAUCCUUAGACAUUACCAUUACAGUGCAAGUGGAUCUUUUUUCUUUAUCUUAUACAUUUAUUAUAGAUAAAUUCCAUUCUCUAUGCCUAGGGGAAUAUAAAUUGUGCCUUCAGUACUCCUAUAGUAAGAUAAAAGAAUUAACUUCAUCAUAAAUCAAAAAUUAAUGUUCACUUCAAAUGAAUGGGAGCACAAGUAAAACUUUAAGAUUUAUGAACAAAAUAAACUAUUUUCACCACACUCAUUGGCAAGAAUAAGAUAAUUUUAAUUUUAUUCGGAGAUUAUUUAUCUAGGAUUGUGUAGCAAAAUAUAUAGGUUGUUUUCUCCUAUGCAUAAAUUUCAUACUCUUCUAGACUAAAUAUGCAGCCCAUGCUACAUUGACCACCGGUUUUCUUCAUUAAUACCUAAUUUGUCCCAUUAUCGUUGCAUGGGUGGUUCAUCAUUUUCUCCUGCUGAUAGUUUAUUCUAAGUAUAGAUCAGACCCUGUGGCUGUGAGAUGUGAACACAUUGCUCCACUCGCUUGGCCAAAAUAAAGAAGGGAAAGCAAGCAAGAUUGGGCGUCUUAUGUUGACAAGUUCCAAACGCGUGAAUGCGACUUCUAUGGAACAUAGAAGAUAGAGCCGAGGGGAGUUACCAUCGAUGCAGUGACUUUGGAAAAGAAAAAUUAAAAAAAAAGGAACAAUUUGAAGCCAAGUUUUUACCAAACCUAAUUUUAAAGACUUGAAGGCCAUUCUAUUGGGUGAUUCCAAAAUUGCGGAGAGAUGGCUCGAACGGUUUGGACGGCCAAUGCGAACAACAAUUAAAAAAGUGACAAUUUUUGGGGAGACUUUUGUAACAUCAAAGACUAGUGUGUCUAAUCCUAUUAGAUUAAAGAGACUGUAAUGGAAGCCGAUCGGGUUGUAGCUCAAGUAGAAUGGGACUUUAUUUCCAUACGAUAGACUAAGGUUCGAAAUAUGCAUGUAUUGAUUAAAUCAUGGAGCAGAUGACUUAUAUCCUGAUCGAUCAUACGGAAAUACUAUUUGAUCCACUUAGUGGUUCGAUUGGCAUCAGAAUGAUGUACUCAUACGAGGAAGAAAAAUCCUCUCGAUCCGCGUGGGGAGAAUUGGCAACUUUGAGUGUCCUAUGGUGGGAUCUUGUGACUUGGAUGAGUCGGCCAUAAGGCAAAAGUCAUUCGAAUCGAACAUUCUUCGAUGGAAGGGAGUCCUUAUGGUUAUGCCUAGGGAGGAUUGAUAUGCGGGUUGCCUCCCCUUCCUUUUGUAAUAAUAAUAAUAAAAAAAAGAGACUGUAAUGAAAAUGUGCCUAUAUACUUGAUUUGAAUGCUAAUGUUAGAUAUUCAGCCUAAAAAAAAAAAAAGUUUCCAUUGGAUAAAUGAAAUCCUUUUGUUUCAUUUGUGAGUUAGGUGCUAUACUGCGAAGAGGAUUUUAUCGAGUCAGGUUUAAUCUAACCUAAAUUUAACCAUUGAAUUAGUAGUUUCAAAUUGCUUAUAGGCCAAAAUCAUUAGAUUGCUUCUGCAAUUUUCUCGCUGUUUUAGGUUGGACAGGCCUAUAUGGUCCUCUUUGGACAACUAGACUCGAACAUGAAGAAAGGCUCAAGAUAAUUGGUCCAAAAUGGAUCUCAUGGUCCAAAUACUUAAUUUGCUUGCUUAUUUUUUAAGGAAUGCUCAAAGGCAACGAUGUAGAUCGACAGCCAUAACUGAGAUGCUGUAUAAUGUUGCAUGCCAUGUGCCUUUGUGAUCAUUAUUUUUGUGACUUAUUGAGAAAUUUCUAACUUAUUUACAAGUCAUGCUAGACCUAACUUGACUUGCUUGUAGUUUAGCUCUUGCUUUAUAUUUACUCUAUAUUUGAUUGUCUCGGCCUCUUUUGUUUAGUUCACCUAACCAAAACUACUCCAACCCAAGCAUACACUAAUUUAAAUAUAUAUUGAUUUGACUUCUGUAACGAAGUAGUUGGCAAAACUUACCUUCAUGAGAAUAGCAUCCCCACUAGGAAUACUAGCAAACAUAUCUCCACCAACAUGCUCUACACCUGCACAAGAAUUACGCCAGACCAGACCGAAUUAUUAAUCUAAAAGAAUUUCUCAUGGCAAAGCAAUCAGAAAGCACACAAGUCUGGCAAGGAUAACAAACCUGGCAAUGGUGGUGCUUCAGAGAUGACAUGAGGAAGAUCAAAGUUGAUGCCCUUGAUGUGAGGAUACUUGGAGGUGAUCAUGUGGAGGGUGGCACCGAUGCCACCACCGACAUCGACGAGCACGUUAAUAUCUUCGAAGCCCUUGUACGACUCUAAAAGCUUCUUAGUGAUGACGAUAGAGUGGUUCUUCAUGCCUUCAUUGAACACGUUAUUGAACCUAGGAUCGGUGCCAUGAUACUCAAAUGCUGUCAUGCCAUAAGCCUUGUUGAAGGGAAUUCCCCCAUCCAAUACCGCAUCCUUCAAGUAGUACCUAUUUUUGUUGUGGAAGGUAAUUUUAAAAAAUCAAUCAUUGGUUUUUUUUUUUUGUAAAUUUAUUCUUUAUAUGGGAUUACCAAGUGUCAACUACCAAUAUUGUUGUGCUGAACUUAAUUUACAUGUGAAUCUAAAACAGCCUUCCCAUUAAUUAGAAGGCCUUAUUAAGGGAAACGGGAUACUAGUGGUUCAUGUAUAUAUAUAGAAGAUUUGGAAAGCCAAAAGCCGUAGAAACACUUGACAGCAUAUUAUAUUGCCACCAUGCUAACGAGUCACGCAACAAAAUAGAUGUGGACGGGUCCUGGUCCUCUUCUUGAAACGGCACCUCAUGAGAAACCCGUUUCCCAGGACAGAGAAACUGAAGGAAUGAUGAGGUGCUUCUCAAAGGAAUUUGAUUAUUUCUGGAUCCAUAUCAUGUCUGCUUGUCCAAAAUCUAAUCACCCAUCAUUUGAAUAUACCCAACCUUUCAUGCAUAUGAAAGAAGGAUUAUUCAUCUUCUUUCACCCACUAGACACUUUGAGACCCGUGGAGAUCGAUAAACACAGAGUUUUAGAUCAUUUUGAGGUCUUCUUUCGCGGUGGGUGAUCCAAUGAUGGAUUCGCAUGAAGGAAGGCGAAUCCUUCUUUAAAGAUACAAACCCAUGCCAAGGCUGGGGAUAACCAGAGAGCUAGGGUCCUACUACCAAUUCUGAAUCUAAGAUGUUUGCCCCUAUGGGAAUCGUAUUCCCACACGUGAAACGCGUUCUGCACUUUUAAAGGAAUGGUUGUGCCUUAGCUCUUACCAGCUCUCCAUGAGGACCUUAUCCUGGUUCAUGAGGGUGAGCGGGGCCAUGGACACCCCAUCCUCGUUCUUGGUCAGCCACUUGCACACCGGCGCCGGGCCAUAUCGCCGCAAUGGCUUCCCAUCGGCGUCGACCUCCACGGAGCAAGUGAGGAUGUUGUAGGAGGCGAGGAGGCGGAGCAUGCGGUCCAGCAUGGUGGCGGCCAUCGAAUUCUCGGUGGGUAGUUGGGCAGCCACCUGGGCCGGGCUGAGCUUGCCCUCUGGGCCGGCUUUUGCAAUGAUCUCGAGGACGUCGAGCUCGAUGGCGGCCUUGAGGGUCAUGGGCAGGAUGGAGGAGCUCACCAGCUGCAGUGCGUACAAGCACGCCGCCUCGUCGCCGGCCUGAUUCUCCACCGACGGCGCCGGCAUCCCCUGCUUCUCGAUAGACCCCAUUCUCUUCUUGUCGAUGGUGGUUGUGGUGGCAGUGGUGGCGGUGGUGUCUUUGAGAGGAGUUUGGGGCGUUGGCGAGAUGGAGAGAAGCCUAAUGGAGGGGGUUUAUAUGGGACUUGUGUCCAACAACCGCGCCACCUACCGUCUUGGACUUGUAUUUUUUAUGUUUAUUUUCUUGAUUUUUGGCACUUGAAUUUUUUAUUUUUUUAUGUUUAUUUUCUUGAUUCUUUACGCAUAUGUAACCCCCCAAAAUAGACGGUCUGAACCCCAAAACUAUAUAUGAAAGGCUCACAAGAUUAAUUUAAAAGAGUAGAUAUAUACAACUGGAUCCAUUGACUUGUUUAUUAGAAGGUUUGACGGCACCCAAGCUAGUUUUGAGUUAAAAGACAAGGCUCCAUGAUGGUCUGGAUUAUACAUUUCUUAUGGGGCUGCAAAGGUUACGCUUUAAUACAAAAGGUUUGGGCCUAAUCAUAUUAAAAACAAAACAUCAGGCUUCCACUUGGUCCAAGCCCUAAUUUGGCUGCUGAUGAACAUUUAUAUGCAUACUUUCUAUAUGACAGCCCCAUUUUAUACCUUAACUUCGGUCCUUAAGAGAUAUUGAAAUGAAUUAAAGAAAAAAAAAAAAUCACCUAAACACUAACAGGAUAAAUGUAAUCAACUAUAAAAUGCAUUGAUGUGCUCAUGCUGCCAGCUUUGUUAUGAGUCAAUAUAUGAUUCUAACGAGAGAGGCUAAGCAGGAUCGAAGUACAGACAUGAAGCAUUACCUCAAAACAUGUAUGAGCGCUACCGUGAUGCUUUUAUACCUUGCCUUCCAUGGUUGUCAGGAUUGGUGUGAUAACAGGGAUAGAUGGGUGACAAAUGAGAUUAAGAAUUAGAUUUCAAUGGCGGCCUACAUAACCAUGUAUUUUGUCCAUUGAGAUUUUGACGUCAUUAUCAUCCAUCAUUUUAAUGACUCAAUACAAAAUUUGCAAAACAAAUUGAUGAUACAUUUUGUAUUUUAAUAAUAUUAGAGGGGUUAAUCAGUGCAGUUAGUAAAGUUGUUGUGUUUGUUACGAAUAACCUGGGCUUGAGUCAUGCUAUUCGUUAAUUUUUAAACCAAAAUUUCACCCAUUCUAGUGCUCAAAGAAAAAGAUGUUCAAAUAAUGCUUCACAUCCAAUUGUUUAUGUUAUGCACACAUCAGCUGCUGAGCAAGAAAACAAAGUGGUUGGACAUUACUCGCCUAAGAAAAAAGUGUUUAUUCUUUGAUUUUUUUUGCAACGAUUGAUGGUGCCNNNNNNNNNNNNNNNNNNNNNNNNNNNNNNNNNNNNNNNNNNNNNNNNNNNNNNNNNNNNNNNNNNNNNNNNNNNNNNNNNNNNNNNNNNNNNNNNNNNNNNNNNNNNNNNNNNNNNNNNNNNNNNNNNNNNNNNNNNNNNNNNNNNNNNNNNNNNNNNNNNNNNNNNNNNNNNNNNNNNNNNNNNNNNNNNNNNNNNNNNNNNNNNNNNNNNNNNNNNNNNNNNNNNNNNNNNNNNNNNNNNNNNNNNNNNNNNNNNNNNNNNNNNNNNNNNNNNNNNNNNNNNNNNNNNNNNNNNNNNNNNNNNNNNNNNNNNNNNNNNNNNNNNNNNNNNNNNNNNNNNNNNNNNNNNNNNNNNNNNNNNNNNNNNNNNNNNNNNNNNNNNNNNNNNNNNNNNNNNNNNNNNNNUAUAUAUAUAUAUAUAUAUAUAUAUAUAUAUAUAUAUAUAUAUAUAUAUAUAUAUAUAUAUACAUAUAUAGUUACAACCUUAUGUCUUUUUGAACGUGUCCAUGUCAAGAUGUAAAUAAAUUUUGAGCUACUCAUGUUGGGCAGUCUGCUGAGACUGGUUCAGACUAAACGAAUGAGAUAUAUUUUUAUUAAGAGGGCUAUGUGUAAAAUGCUUCACGCUAAGAUUCAAACUAGCCUCGCUGUCACUAGUUCAAACUUCAUUUAUUGAUAUUUUGCUUGUAAGUCAUUGUUAAGAGCAAAACUUGCCAUAUUGGUCAAUACCAGUGCAUACCAACUGUAACAUAUUAUAUCAACAUCGAGUAGAUAUGCAAUAUAAAAAUCUAUUGAUUGUUGGUACACCAAAUUGAUUACCAUAUCAAACAUACCAACAUAAUAAUGGAAUAAUACUAGUUUGGAGUCUUGUAAUUAAACAGUGAAUAUUGGUUGAGAAAAAAAUAUUUCUAUCUCAAGUCUCUUGACCAUGCCAACCAGAUAAAUCGGAUCCAUCCUCGAUUCUCAUGGGUCAGCUGACCUAUCACCAAUGAAUGAGCCAUGCCUUCUCUCACAUGACAUGCGGACCAAGGAUGCGGUCUAUAGUGCAUUUGACCAUGGCCAUGAAAUCAUCAAAUUCUAGCAUGAAGAUUAGCACAUUUACUUCCUUUGGCAGCUGAUAUUAAGCAUUUUGCUUCUUUAGUCCUUUCAACAUAAUUAAUUAAAAGACUGGGGCAGGAUGCUUGAUAGCUGCAUCUACAUAUAUUCUAGACAGGUACUUGUUAGAUAAAGCAGUACUGGUGUCAUGGAGCCAAUCCUGUAAUAUAUGUUUGUACUCAGGCCACUCACAAAAGCAACAAAACCAAUAUGAACCAAAAGUGCAAAUGCUGAGAAAAAUAUUAGAUCAAUAGAUUAAUUAAACAAAAAGUAGGAAAACAGCAGUACAACUCUUUACCAAUAUUUAUUAUGAUCACAAUACUAAGGAUUUGACUGAUCAACUUUCAACCAAAACCAACAACCAAAUAUUGAUCACAGAAGCAAAGAUCAAGCAGAGUAUAUUCCAAUCUACUUAGUGAAUUCGAGAACCCAAGCAGUGGAGAAACAAUACUGAGCUUUAAACCCUGUGAAGCCUGCUCCCUUGGCCAAGUCCUGGUACUCUUUCUCGGUCCUCUCUUUCCCACCAGGGUUGUGAGCCAACAUGAUCAUGUCCACAUGGAAGACACCCUGUGCUGAAGGAAUCGGUUCUG
Molecule: long non-coding RNA, 8335 nt
Filed under: Elaeis guineensis (African oil palm)
Lineage: Eukaryota; Viridiplantae; Streptophyta; Magnoliopsida; Arecales; Arecaceae
Description: long non-coding RNA (EGUI_LNC024961)
Source: RNAcentral